UACGGGGGGGGCAAGCGUUGUUCGGAAUUACUGGGCGUAAAGGGCUUGUAGGUGGCCAACUAAGUCAGACGUGAAAUCCCUCGGCUUAACCGGGGAACUGCGUCUGAUACUGGAUGGCUGGAGUGUGGGAGAGGGAUGCGGAAUUCCAGGUGUAGCGGUGGAAUGCGCAGAUAUCAGGAAGAACACCGGUGGCGAAGGCGGAUCUCUGGGCCUUACCUGACGCUGAGGCGCGAAAGCUAGGGGAGCGAACAGG
Molecule: ribosomal RNA, 253 nt
Filed under: uncultured bacterium
Lineage: Bacteria
Description: partial 16S ribosomal RNA
Rfam family: Bacterial small subunit ribosomal RNA
Source: RNAcentral